This 1101-nucleotide long non-coding RNA is filed under the name Callithrix jacchus (white-tufted-ear marmoset). Its description in RNAcentral is "lncRNA (ENSCJAG00000054960.2)". The record is from RNAcentral. Lineage: Eukaryota; Metazoa; Chordata; Mammalia; Primates; Cebidae.
AUGGAGAACAGGCAACAGCUCCUCCAACUGGUUGGAGCAGAUAUCACUGGAAGCCCCCCAAAUAUUAAGAUUUUUAAACAACUUCAAGUUCUGGUGGGAACAGCCAAAUGCACUACAGAAACUUUGGGACCAGCAGCCACGACACAACAGGUGAGAGAGGCAGCAGACAUCAUUGCAAGGUGGAGUGCACAACAUACAAUGACAAACCCGAAACGGUCUGGGGAUGUGGGAAAAUACCAUGCACACGGCCAUCCCGGAGCCCCUGUCUUUCCAGUGGCAAAAGGUUCGGUUCCUUCGGAGGGGCGUGCCACUCCCCCUCUUCCCCACCCAGGGGACCACCACCCCAGGCACAGGAAGAACCGCGGUCCCUCCGCGGGCACAUCUCAGCUGGGGAAGAAAACACAAUGUCGCUCCUUAUUUCGGCGUACAAAAGGACUUUGCGCCCUCCUCCUCGAACUGCCGCCCCGGCCGCCUCCUAACUUGCAAGAAGGUGGGCAUCGCGCCAUAUUCCAGCGUCCCCCAGUCUACCUGGGUAACAAGCCCACGCCACCCCGGCAGGAGGGAAGCUUCAGAGGUCGCCCAAAGAGCCAGCCUCCUCUCCCGCAGGAGACAGCGGCUCCUGCGCCCCAGCCCUGCCCCGCCGCGCCGCCCGCCCGCGGACUAGAGCCGGGAAGGGCCGAGGGGGCGAGCGAAGAGCCGCGGCUUCGGUCCCGCGCAGCCCGCCCACCUCCCGCUCCCGGGCCCGGCGCACUCUCCCGCGCCUCCCGCUCCCGAGCCGAGGGAAGGCCGGGCCCCGGGUUCCACGGCGGGGAGGAGGCCGCGGUCCCGAGAGCCCCAGGCAGCGGGGGAGGCCGGAACCCUGGGGCUCUCGGGAGGGCAGCGCCUCCCUCCCCAGCCCGCCAGGACGCCUGGGGCCUAGUGCGGCCUGCGCAUCCUCGGGGUGGCGGUUUGGCUGGGCCGGGCCGGGGCCCCCCGCCCGAGGCGGGCCGAAUCCGGCGGGGGCCCAGGCCCGGAGCCGGGGGCGGCAGGGUGCCGGCUGCGGGGCGGGCCGGCCGGCCGGCGGGCGGGCGGCGUGUUGCGGCUGCGCCGGGGCUGAAAUAG